CGUGAGAUGUUGGGUUAAGUCCCGCAACGAGCGCAACCCCUAUUGUUAGUUGCUACGCAAGAGCACUCUAGCGAGACUGCCGUUGACAAAACGGAGGAAGGUGGGGACGACGUCAAAUCAUCAUGCCCCUUAUAUCCUGGGCUACACACGUAAUACAAUGGCGGUCAACAGAGGGAAGCAAAGCCGCGAGGCAGAGCAAAACCCCCAAAAGCCGUCCCAGUUCGGAUUGUAGGCUGCAACUCGCCUGCA
This 249-nucleotide ribosomal RNA is filed under the name uncultured bacterium. RNAcentral describes it as "partial 16S ribosomal RNA". It matches the Rfam family "Bacterial small subunit ribosomal RNA", at positions 1066 to 1320 of the family's 1533-position model. The record is from RNAcentral.